Molecule: unclassified non-coding RNA, 327 nt
Filed under: Hevea brasiliensis (rubber tree)
Lineage: Eukaryota; Viridiplantae; Streptophyta; Magnoliopsida; Malpighiales; Euphorbiaceae
Source: RNAcentral
AGGAUGAGGAUUUUCUCACUAAGGUAUAUAGGAUAUAAGCUGCUAACUUCUUUCCAAUUAGAAAGCUCAACACUGUUCAUUGAGAAUACUUGUGCAUUUGGGAUGAUCAGGAUGUUAAUCAUGGUAGUUGCUAUAUCAUUUCAUCAUUUACAGCAAAAAUAUAUUUUUUUGGAAGAAAACCUAUUUUGGCAGGCUUGUGGCUUUGGCUUUUCGCAAUUUAUCUCCAAAAAUUAAGGGAAAUUUCCAUAAUCAGAUGAAUGUGAUAAUGUUCUGUAGCCCUUCCUUUCCAACUCUGUUCUGUUUUUCAGAAACCAUUGCAUGUGCCAC